This 253-nucleotide ribosomal RNA is filed under the name uncultured bacterium. Its description in RNAcentral is "partial 16S ribosomal RNA". It matches the Rfam family "Bacterial small subunit ribosomal RNA", at positions 524 to 776 of the family's 1533-position model. The record is from RNAcentral.
UACGUAGGGGGCAAGCGUUGUCCGGAUUUAUUGGGCGUAAAGAGCGUGUAGGCGGCUUGGCAAGUCCGCUGUGAAAACUCGAGGCUCAACCUCGAGACGUCGGUGGAAACUGUCUGGCUAGAGUCCGGAAGAGGAGAGUGGAAUUCCUGGUGUAGCGGUGAAAUGCGCAGAUAUCAGGAAGAACACCCGUAGCGAAGGCGGCACUCUGGGCCGAUACUGACACUGAGGAGCGAAAGCGUGGGGAGCGAACAGG